Molecule: ribosomal RNA, 201 nt
Filed under: uncultured bacterium
Lineage: Bacteria
Description: partial 16S ribosomal RNA
Rfam family: Bacterial small subunit ribosomal RNA
Source: RNAcentral
GCCCUUCCUACGGGAGGCAGCAGUAAGGAAUAUUGGUCAAUGGACGGAAGUCUGAACCAGCCAUGCCGCGUGCAGGAAGACUGCCCUAUGGGUUGUAAACUGCUUUUGUACGGGAACAAACGUCGGUACGUGUACCGGUCUGAGUGUACCGUAAGAAUAAGGAUCGGCUAACUCCGUGCCAGCAGCCGCGGUAAUAAGGGC